GAAAUGGUACUGAAGGGGUGUAAAGCAUUGAGGCGAAUGUAUGGGAUGCGCACUGUUUGGUCGUUUGGUUUGAACGUCACGCAAGUAGGCCUAUCGGAUACUAUCGAUAACGCGUAUACAAAAGCAGUCAGAUUCACAAGGGCCUCUGCCACUAUGUGUAUGUAGAAAAGGAUUUACAACAACUAGUUGUGCACAUGCUUGUGAGUGGACUUCAGAGACUGAAUAUGUAGGCACUAGGAAAGCCAAUAAUGGAGAAGUUUUAAUAUUUGACAUGGGCUAAUUUUUGAAUUCCUGAAACAUCUG
Molecule: long non-coding RNA, 303 nt
Organism: Anguilla rostrata (American eel)
Lineage: Eukaryota; Metazoa; Chordata; Actinopteri; Anguilliformes; Anguillidae
Exons: 3
Source: RefSeq, a predicted model, not a curated record